Long non-coding RNA from Herpailurus yagouaroundi (jaguarundi), 1241 nucleotides. RefSeq lists it as uncharacterized. The transcript is spliced from 2 exons. NCBI's taxonomy places the organism in Eukaryota, Metazoa, Chordata, Mammalia, Carnivora, Felidae. The record is from RefSeq and is a predicted model, not a curated record.
ACUCUUGAUCUCAGCUCAGGUCUCGAUCUCAGGGUCGUGAGUUCAAGGCCCUGCCUUGGGCUCCGUGCUGGGCCCGAAGCCUAAAUUUUACAAAAGCCAAAACAACAACCACAAAAAAGACCUUUUCAUUAUACCACAUUGUCUUUGCAGUAAACAUUUGUCAUCACCGACAUAAUUACAUAUUCUACCAAGAAAAGGUACUUAAUGUUAUUCCCCGACACCAGUGCGCGAGGAAAGUUACUUACGGUGUCUGCCUUCACGUUGCUUUCAUGAAUUGCCAGCUAAGCAAUCGGCAAGACAGUACUCUGUUACUUGUGUAUGCCCCAGUGCCUACCAAGAUAUGUCAGGUGUUCAGUCACAUGACCUUUUUGAACGAAGGAAACCUGAGUUCCUUGAACCAAGGAAGGUAUGGAAGAUAGAAUAACGGUUCCCCCAAAGAUGCCCACAUCCCAGUCCCUGGAACCCGUGCAUAUGUUUGUUAUGUGGCGAGAGGGAAUUAAGUUUGCUAAUCAGCUAACCUCGAAACAGAGAGAUUAUCCUGGAUUAUCCGGGAGGCCCGCCGUAAUUACAAGAGUUUGGAAAAGAUGGCAGGGGGACACAGUAGGGUCAACGUCUGCAUGCUGCUCUGUGACAAAGGCUUGGCCAGCUGUCGCAGCUUUGAAGAUGGAAGAGCAUCUUCCUCUCUGAACUGGAGCCCCCGGAAGGAACACAACCCUCCGCACGCUUGGCUUUUGGACUUCUAACCCACAGAACUCUGGGGUGACAAAUGUGUUGUUUUAUGCCACUAAAUUUGUGGAGAUUUGUCACAGCAGCAGUAGGAAGCUCCUACGGAAAGGGGAGGGAGCCAAAUCGUGAUUAAGCUCCAGAAGACCUCCUUGGAUUGUGGAUUUACCCUUUAAUGCAAAUGAGGGUGUGGCUCACCUGAAACUGUGCCCUAAGCAAAGUGACAGGCACUGGACAAAGCUGCCUACAUUUCCAGUAUCUCCCUGCUUCUCUGUUUCUGGGGACAGUCCUCGAGCUUAGGUGGGCAGCUGGGUUCUAGGCUGGUGCUGCACAGCAGCUGUCUUAGCUAAGCUCUUCAGAUUCGCCUACUGGAACAGAAGAAUGGAACAACAAAGCCUGGAGGACAGCACAUCUGUUUACAACGUGGGUGACUGAAUGUCUUAAGUCUGCCGUUGAGACCUACUCAGAGAAAAGAUCCCUUUCCACAUGCUGUCACUCAUUAAAGAUGAAUCUUGGUA